GUUGUUGGGGUCUCGAAAGGAUUUGAAAAGCGACUUCAAUUAGUUGGGGUUGGAUAUCGGGCGACGCUGGAGGGCAGGGAUCUUGUUCUGAACCUUGGAUUCUCCCAUCCAGUGAGGAUGGCCAUCCCUGAUGGCUUGCAAGUGAUGGUGGAGGACAACACUAGGAUCGCCGUCAUCGGAUACGACAAGUGUGCCAUUGGUGAGUUUGCUGCUGCAGUAAGGAAGUGGAGGCCUCCCGAACCAUACAAGGGUAAAGGUAUCAAAUAUGCUGAUGAAAUUGUGAGGAGGAAGGACGGAAAAGCUGGCAAAAAGAAGUAGAAGUGACCAAACCUACCAUAUGUUCUUUGC
RNAcentral lists this long non-coding RNA (348 nucleotides) under Musa acuminata (dwarf banana). RNAcentral describes it as "long non-coding RNA (MACU_LNC002637)". The record is from RNAcentral. Lineage: Eukaryota; Viridiplantae; Streptophyta; Magnoliopsida; Zingiberales; Musaceae.